ACGGGAGGCAGCAGUGGGGGAUAUUGCGCAAUGGGGGAAACCCUGACGCAGCAACGCCGCGUGAAGGAUGAAGGUCUUCGGAUUGUAAACUUCUUUUAUCAAGGACGAAGAAUGACGGUACUUGAUGAAUAAGCUCCGGCUAACUACGUGCCAGCAGCCGCGGUAAUACGUAGGGAGCGAGCGUUGUCCGGAUUUACUGGGUGUAAAGGGUGCGUAGGCGGCCAAGCAAGUCAGUUGUGAAAUCUAUGGGCUCAACCCAUAGCCUGCAAUUGAAACUGUUUGGCUUGAGUGAAGUAGAGGUAGGCGGAAUUCCCGGUGUAGCGGUGAAAUGCGUAGAGAUCGGGAGGAACACCAGUGGCGAAGGCGGCCUACUGGGCUUUAACUGACGCUGAGGCACGAAAGCAUGGGUAGCAAACAGGAUUAGAUACCCUGGUA
This 435-nucleotide ribosomal RNA is filed under the name uncultured Clostridium sp. Its description in RNAcentral is "partial 16S ribosomal RNA". It matches the Rfam family "Bacterial small subunit ribosomal RNA", at positions 341 to 792 of the family's 1533-position model. Lineage: Bacteria; Bacillati; Bacillota; Clostridia; Eubacteriales; Clostridiaceae. The record is from RNAcentral.